RNAcentral lists this transfer RNA (61 nucleotides) under Ictidomys tridecemlineatus (thirteen-lined ground squirrel). RNAcentral describes it as "Spermophilus tridecemlineatus (thirteen-lined ground squirrel) tRNA". It matches the Rfam family "tRNA", at positions 6 to 65 of the family's 71-position model. From Rfam's summary of the family: Transfer RNA (tRNA) molecules are approximately 80 nucleotides in length. Their secondary structure includes four short double-helical elements and three loops (D, anti-codon, and T loops). Lineage: Eukaryota; Metazoa; Chordata; Mammalia; Rodentia; Sciuridae. The record is from Rfam by way of RNAcentral.
UGUAGUUCAGUGGUAGAGUGCUUGCCUUGCAUGCAUGAGGCACUGGGUUCAAUUCUUAGCA